UUCAUAACAUCCGUGCUCCUCAGGGGGUGACAGAUCCAGAGAGCACCCCCUCCAGGCCCUCCCCCGGAAGGCCCUGUUUGGGGGACCACAAGCAUCUUGAGAAAAUGCAGAUUCAUCAGAGCUUCUCGAAGCCCACUGUUUGCAGCGGGGGUAAACAAUGCGGUUUUAGAGCGUUCGUUCCAUCCUCUUGGCCGCGUCGAUGGGAUUCCACAACAUCCAGCAGAAGAGGAGCCAACAUUCCCAAGGAGCAUUUAAAUGAGCUACCUCGUCACCGCAUGGGAACGGCUGAACACUGCACCAAGCCUUCCAUGAGACCUGCUUUCAUCUAGGACCGCAACGUAGGUGCAGCACUAAAAGCCCUCACCAAAGGGCUGUCUUGAAGUGCCUCCAAUUCUAGAAAGAAGUCUCUUUGGGAAUCCUGUUUGCUACCUCAAGCAGUGUAAGCCAAAAUUUCAAAGUCUACCAUUUCUUCACAGGCUGUAUCUGUAUGCGUGAACAGGGACAGAAGAAACCCUAUCCCCACCACAGCAACUCCAAACCAGAGGACGGUCCUCGGGAGCCAAGAAUGUCCAGGUUAUAGGAACAGAAUGAAGCCACUUAAGAAAAUGGUCAAUUAUGGAAUGUUCUGUGCAUAAGUAUGUCCAUUAAUUAAGAAGUGAACUGAAAUUGCUAAUGGAUUUCAUAAUGGCCACCAACCAGCUGCCAGUUGGCUGUAGCUGGGUGACAGAUGGUAGUGACUGAUCUGGACUAGAUCUGACCUAGAGAUAGUCCGUCAUUUAUUAAAUUGCAGGCCCAAAUAAAAUUCCAUGCAUUGCAGCAUUUCA
This is a long non-coding RNA of Hyaena hyaena (striped hyena), 824 nucleotides long. RefSeq lists it as uncharacterized. Lineage: Eukaryota; Metazoa; Chordata; Mammalia; Carnivora; Hyaenidae. The record is from RefSeq and is a predicted model, not a curated record. The transcript is spliced from 3 exons.